CACAAGGUUCCCUAUAAGAAGACAGGAGGGUCAAAGUGACGAGUAGGUGAUGUCAUAAUAGAAGCAGAAAUUGGAGUGAUACACUUUGAAAAUGGUGAGGGCGCCAUGAACCAAGGAAUACAGGUGGUCACUAGAAGCUGAAGGAGGUGAGGCCAUUGGUUCUCCCCUGGGGCCUCCAGAAGGGACCAGCCCAGUCAACUCUGACUUCAGCUGAGUGAGACUGAUUUUGGACUUCUGACCUCCAGGACUGUGAGAGAAUAAAUGCGUGUUGCUUUAAGCCACUCAGUUUGUGGUAACUUGUCACAGCAGCAGUAGGAAACUCAUACAGUCAGUUAUUGCUAAGGGACCAACCAUCCCAACGCUGCCGUCUCAUUCCUGGACCUAGGGGUUGCCUGGGGCAACCCUACUUCAGAUUAUAGGUUGGUUUUGAGUCUCUCCACCAGCUGCAUUCUGGGACAAUGGCUACUGGGGGUGUGCGCUUUUCAUGGCAGUGACAAAAAUGGGAGAGAAGACUAGCAGACACUUGCCAUGCCUGUUACCAUUUCAGCUCUGAGACACCCACUUCCACCCACCUUCCAUUGCCCAAAAAUCCUACCAUCAUCCCACUGGCUUAGUGUUUCGAGACUUGCUGAUGCAGGCAGUUCAUCUUUAGAAGUCCAAGGAAGGAGAAGGCAGUGGACCCAGCUGCUCCUUAAAGAAUGGACUCAGCAAAGCAGAUGACGAGGCUUAUACAAAUGGUACAACAGAACUGAAAAGUUGUCGUAUGAGUUAAAGUCCCUUUUCUCAAGGCGCUCUUUCUUAUGAGAAUCUCAUCAAAUACUCCAUUCCCUCAUGGACAAGAAGAACCCAGAAUGAUAUCAGUGUUGUCUGAAAGAAAACACAACUGUCUUGGAGUCCGGUCUUCACUAGCCCCAGGGCCUAGGGAAAUGCCUCAAAAGGCGGGCUCUUCUCCUCUGAGGACUGGAGCAUGUCCUGCCAGCUGGGCUUCCUGCAAACACACAUGGAUUGGGAAGUGUGGCUGGAUUGGAAACAGAGAGAGGUGGAUGAAACAGGUUUCCCAUGAGAGUCUGAUCAUCUCCGGCUCGCUAAUAGAAGUUCCUCUGGAAUGGAGACGUGAGCUCUUUCCUCUUUCCUGUGAGGACCCGGACCAGGCACAGGCAGAGGAGCAGGAAGCAAGUUUGCCGACGUGGGUGCUGUCAACUCCGACUGUACGGGUGAACAGAGCUGCUCGGAAUGGCAUCUCACACUGUCUUCAGGAAGCGCCCAGGGCAAUGGGGUGAGGCCUGAGACACAGGCUGGGGCCUCCACUGCUCUGAGAAAUGGGUGUCCUUUUCUUCUGUGGAAUCCUCCCCAGUCUCCCCAGGAGAAUGGAUUGCCGCUAUGGCACACAGAUGACCAGCUUCGACCAGAGCCUGCAGCUGGACUCCUACUGUGUGCCAGACAUUUAAUCCUUUUAAGCCUCACAACAACUUCGUGCAACAGAAGGGAUGGCCCUUGUGUGAAGGAUGAGGGAACCGAGGCUUGGAGAAGUUACACGACGUGCCUAAGGCCCUUGUCUUUCGGAUGGCACCUUCACUUCAGACCGUCUGCCCCCAGGAGGCUUGACGAUCACUGAGAGCCACUGCUCAGAAAGGAAGAUCAUUCUUCAGGAGGUGGGAGACCUGGGAUCUAGAUGUCUCUCUACCAACCCACCUUUGACAAGCCCCUUCACCUUGCCGGGCCUCAGUUUCCCUGUUCUGUUUGGAGAACAACAGUGCCUGCCCCAUCCUGCCUCACAGAUUGCUACAAGGCUCAAUGCGGGGAAGGGCUUUGUGAAAUGCCAGCUCAGUCUGUUCCAGUUGAUUCUUACGAAGGUGGAGCAGGAGGGCCCUCCACGCACCCUCUUAUCCGCGUGGCAGUUGAGGCCAGUGAAGCUCAGAGGACUGAAUGGCUCACCAGGACCCUGAGCAAGAUGACG
This 1957-nucleotide long non-coding RNA is filed under the name Equus caballus (horse). Its description in RNAcentral is "lncRNA (ENSECAG00000052852.1)". The record is from RNAcentral. Lineage: Eukaryota; Metazoa; Chordata; Mammalia; Perissodactyla; Equidae.